AAUGCAAUUUUGAGGGAGGUAUUUUCAUUUUCUUCCAUAACACGGCUCAUUCAGUAACUUAAUUAAAAUAUUAAAGAAAAUGGCAAGUCACUUUUUCUUUUUUUACUAAUUCUGAAAGUGAAUUUUUCACAUGCAGCUCUGACCAGCGUGGAUCAAAGACAUUUUUGUCCUUUUUCAUCAACAUGAUUUAUUUAGAGUCCAAAACCUCCUCCAAAUAUUCACUUCUUUGUAAGUUUUGCAUUUAUUUUAAAGGCUUAAAUCAACAAUAGGAAUGCUGCAGUCUGAAGUGCACAUAUGUCAGCUUUCUUCUCACAAGAUCCUGGUUUUUAAUCUGCAUUUUCUUGACAGUUUGACGGUCGCGUUCAAAGCUGCUUGCAGACAGUGCAUCUCACAACACGUUGGACAUGGUGGCAGUGAGGAUGCUAAACACAAAGCCUGUCAGGUCUCAUUUCACCUCACUCAAAGUGUGUGGAGUUGAUUUUUUCAGGUCAGUACUGUAAGCAGGUCCACCUGCUCCGUUUUCUUCCACAGCCAGACCUUUGAGUGGAUUUUUCCUCCUCUGUUCUAAUUAAAACUGUGAUAGAAUUUUUGCAAAUAAAAUUCCCAAUAAGCACAUUUAUAGUUGGGUUGUUUGGAGAUGGAUGGGAAUGUUGCUGUUUAAUUAAAAACUGCUGUCUGUGGAGGUUCACCUGUGCUUUACUCCUGCACUCCACUUCACAGGGGACUGCUGGCUGAUUGAAACGCACCCUGUAUCCAUGGUAACGGAGCGGUGACAGCUACUGUACCUCUCAUCACCGCUGAUUCCAUAAACACAGAGAUGAGUGCAGGUGCCUGCAGGAACGCAGGAACUCACCACCGACGUGUUUCUCAGAUGGAGCUCCAUAUUGCAGCGUCUCAACUCUGCUUUCAUGUUGUAAAUACAAUGCAGUUUCAGAUGCAACGUAUCACGUGGAGCUUCCAUUUUUGCAUUCACAAACAGCACUUCAGUUUAUUUCAUGCUCAAGGAUACAUCAGAACAUCAAGAGUGGUUGCUGAGUAAACCACAGACUAGAAUGAAAGGAGCCUGGACUGAACUAAAAGAGACUGAAUUCACGUCAAGGACGAGCAGAAGAAAGCAUGAAACAGAAACAUCAUGUUGUGCUGAACAUAAAAAUGUAGCAACA
This is a long non-coding RNA of Oryzias melastigma (Indian medaka), 1163 nucleotides long. RefSeq lists it as uncharacterized. The transcript is spliced from 2 exons. Lineage: Eukaryota; Metazoa; Chordata; Actinopteri; Beloniformes; Adrianichthyidae. The record is from RefSeq and is a predicted model, not a curated record.